GCCCCAGUGGUGGAAUGGUAGACGCGCUGGAUUCAAAAUCCUGUUCCGAAAGGAGUGCCCGUUCGAGUCGGGCCUGGGGCACCA
RNAcentral lists this transfer RNA (84 nucleotides) under Sphingorhabdus rigui. RNAcentral describes it as "tRNA-Leu". It matches the Rfam family "tRNA". From Rfam's summary of the family: Transfer RNA (tRNA) molecules are approximately 80 nucleotides in length. Their secondary structure includes four short double-helical elements and three loops (D, anti-codon, and T loops). RNAcentral also lists the same sequence under 10 other names. Lineage: Bacteria; Pseudomonadati; Pseudomonadota; Alphaproteobacteria; Sphingomonadales; Sphingorhabdaceae. The record is from RNAcentral.